Molecule: ribosomal RNA, 773 nt
Filed under: Salmonella enterica
Lineage: Bacteria; Pseudomonadati; Pseudomonadota; Gammaproteobacteria; Enterobacterales; Enterobacteriaceae
Description: partial 23S ribosomal RNA
Rfam family: Bacterial large subunit ribosomal RNA
Source: RNAcentral
AGACCCGAAACCCGGUGAUCUAGCCAUGGGCAGGUUGAAGGUUGGGUAACACUAACUGGAGGACCGAACCGACUAAUGUUGAAAAAUUAGCGGAUGACCUGUGGCUGGGGGUGAAAGGCCAAUCAAACCGGGAGAUAGCUGGUUCUCCCCGAAAGCUAUUUAGGUAGCGCCUCGUGAAUUCAUCUCCGGGGGUAGAGCACUGUUUCGGCUAGGGGGCCAUCCCGGCUUACCAACCCGAUGCAAACUGCGAAUACCGGAGAAUGUUAUCACGGGAGACACACGGCGGGUGCUAACGUCCGUCGUGAAGAGGGAAACAACCCAGACCGCCAGCUAAGGUCCCAAAGUCAUAGUUAAGUGGGAAACGAUGUGGGAAGGCCCAGACAGCCAGGAUGUUGGCUUAGAAGCAGCCAUCAUUUAAAGAAAGCGUAAUAGCUCACUGGUCGAGUCGGCCUGCGCGGAAGAUGUAACGGGGCUAAACUAUGCACCGAAGCUGCGGCAGCGACACUAUGUGUUGUUGGGUAGGGGAGCGUUCUGUAAGCCUGUGAAGGUGUGUCGUGAGGCAUGCUGGAGGUAUCAGAAGUGCGAAUGCUGACAUAAGUAACGAUAAAGCGGGUGAAAAGCCCGCUCGCCGGAAGACCAAGGGUUCCUGUCCAACGUUAAUCGGGGCAGGGUGAGUCGACCCCUAAGGCGAGGCCGAAAGGCGUAGUCGAUGGGAAACGGGUUAAUAUUCCCGUACUUGGUGUUACUGCGAAGGGGGGACGGAGAAGGCUAUG